Molecule: unclassified non-coding RNA, 240 nt
Filed under: soil metagenome
Description: partial contains 5.8S ribosomal RNA, internal transcribed spacer 2, and large subunit ribosomal RNA
Source: RNAcentral
AAGACUAUAGACCUGCGGAGUACCUGCGGAGGGAUCAUUACCGAGUUUUCAACUCCCUAACCCUUCUGUGAACCUACCUAUCGUUGCUUCGGCGGACUCGCCCCAGCCCGGACGCGGACUGGACCAGCGGCCCGCCGGGGACCUCAAACUCUUGUAUUCCAGCAUCUUCUGAAUACGCCGCAAGGCAAAACAAAUGAAUCAAAACUUUUAACAAUGGAUCUCUAGAUCGGAAGAGCACAC